RNAcentral lists this ribosomal RNA (485 nucleotides) under uncultured bacterium. RNAcentral describes it as "bacterial SSU rRNA". It matches the Rfam family "Bacterial small subunit ribosomal RNA", at positions 31 to 507 of the family's 1533-position model. The record is from RNAcentral.
GAACGCUGGCGGCGUGGAUUAGGCAUGCAAGUCGAACGGUAUCAUCCUUUCGGGGGUGAGAGAGUGGCGAACUGGUGAGUAACACGUAGGUUAUCUACCCUCAAGACGGGGACAACCCCAGGGAAACUUGGGCUAAUACCGGAUGUGAGCAACUUUUAGUUGUUUGAAAGGUGGCGUAAGCUGUCGCUUGGGGAUGAGCCUGCGUCCUAUUAGUUAGUUGGUGAGGUAACGGCUCACCUAGGCAAUGAUAGGUAGGCGGCCUUAACGGGUGGUCGCCCACACUGGGAUUGAGAUACGGCCCAGACUCCUACGGGAGGCAGCAGUCGAGAAUAGUCUACAAUGGCCGGAAGGCUGAUAGUGCGACGCCGCGUGAACGAGGGAGCCCUUCGGGGUGUAAAGUUCUUUUCUAUACGAGCAGUACUAUAUAUAUGGAUAGUAUAUAUAGAGGGAUAGUAGUAUAGGAAUAAGCAACGGCUAACUCCGUG